RNAcentral lists this ribosomal RNA (570 nucleotides) under uncultured eukaryote. RNAcentral's name for it is "partial 18S ribosomal RNA". It matches the Rfam family "Eukaryotic small subunit ribosomal RNA", at positions 563 to 1092 of the family's 1831-position model. The record is from RNAcentral.
GGUGCCAGCAGCCGCGGUAAUUCCAGCUGAAAAAGCGUAUACGAAUAUUGUUGCAGUUAAAACGCUCGUAGUUGGAAUAAAACAUGGUUUUCUAUUUUUUUUAUUUUAAAACGGUAAAAAAGUAUAGAAUAUCAUUUUUUAAUUUUAUAUAUAAAAAGUAAUUUUUAUAUAUAUAAUUUACUUUGAAUAAAUUAGAGUGCUUUAAGCAGAUUGAGAUUUAAAUUUUAAAUCUUUUUGAUGUUUGAAUAAUUUAGCAUAGAAUAAAAUAAUAAGAUUUGAAAGAUAAGAUUUGGUAAUUAUGUAGCAAAUAAUGAUAAAUAGGAAUAGUUGGGGGUAUUUGUAUUGAAUAGUCAGAGGUGAAAUUCAAGGAUUUGUUCAAGACAAACAUCAGCGAAAGCAUUUACCAAAGAUAUUUCCAUUAAUCAAGAACGAAAGUUAGGGGAUCGAAGAUGAUCAGAUACCGUCGUAGUCCUAACCAUAAAACAAUACCAACCAAAAGAUAAGAGGUUGUAAAAAACAAGAAAAAGGGAAUUUCUUUUUUUACUGAACCAACUCCUUUUGAAUUUUAGA